RNAcentral lists this ribosomal RNA (487 nucleotides) under uncultured bacterium. RNAcentral describes it as "bacterial SSU rRNA". It matches the Rfam family "Bacterial small subunit ribosomal RNA", at positions 29 to 507 of the family's 1533-position model. The record is from RNAcentral.
AACGAACGCUGGCGGCGCGCAUAAUACAUGCAAGUCGAGCGAGAAGACGUAGCAAUACGUUUGUAAAGCGGCGAACGGGUGAGGAAUACAUGGGUAACCUACCCUCGAGUGGGGAAUAACUAGCCGAAACGUUAGNUAAUACCGCGUACGCUCCUUGGACUUCGGUUCAGGGAGGAAAGCGAUACCGUGGGUAUCGCGCUCUUGGAUGGGCCCAUGUCCUAUCAGCUUGUUGGUGAGGUAACGGCUCACCAAGGCUUCGACGGGUAGCUGGUCUGAGAGGACGAUCAGCCACACUGGCACUGCGACACGGGCCAGACUCCUACGGGAGGCAGCAGUAAGGAAUAUUGCGCAAUGGGCGAAAGCCUGACGCAGCGACGCCGCGUGGGGGAUGAAGGUCUUCGGAUUGUAAACCCCUUUCGGGAGGGAAGAUGGAAUGGGGUAACCCAUUCGGACGGUACCUCCAGAAGCAGCCACGGCUAACUUCGUG